Molecule: non-coding RNA, 78 nt
Organism: Stanieria cyanosphaera PCC 7437
Lineage: Bacteria; Bacillati; Cyanobacteriota; Cyanophyceae; Pleurocapsales; Dermocarpellaceae
Source: Rfam
AGGAGCGUAGUGCGGUGAAAGUUGCACGCUACGUUUUGAACGAGAGGUGUCCUCUGGUAACAGAGGCAUCGACUCAAC